This 230-nucleotide long non-coding RNA is filed under the name Lathyrus oleraceus (garden pea). RNAcentral describes it as "Pisum sativum (pea) long non-coding RNA (PSAT_LNC013896)". The record is from RNAcentral. Lineage: Eukaryota; Viridiplantae; Streptophyta; Magnoliopsida; Fabales; Fabaceae.
AUCAACGAAGAUAUUCAGUAAUAAGAGCAAAGAUUUGUUGUAAAUAAUUUAUUUUAAUAUUUUGUGUAAACAAUGUAAUUUCAAAAAAAAAAUAUUCACCUCGAUUUUCAUCAUCACCGAGGUGAUAGUUAAAAUUAUUCGUUUUUGACCCAUGUGCGACAACGAACCAAAUUAGCAUUGUUUCUGGGGACUCUCUGUUGAUAUUAGUCAAUUUUAGAAUCCUAGUUUAG